CCUACGGGGGGCAGCAGUCGAGAAUCAUGCACAAUGGGGGAAACCCUGAUGGAGCGACGCAGCGUGGGGGAAUGAAGGUCUGCGGAUUGUAGACCCCUGUCAUGUGGGAGCAAAUUAAAAAGAUAGUACCACAAGAGGAAGAGACGGCUAACUCUGUGCCAGCAGCCGCGGUAAUACAGAGGUCUCAAGCGGUGUUCGGAAUCACUGGGCGUAAAGCGUGCGUAGGCUGUUUCGUAAGUCGUGUGUGAAAGGCGCGGGCUCAACCUGCGGACGGCACAUGAUAGUGCGCGACUAGAGUAAUGGAGGGGGAACCGGAAUUCGCGGUGUAGCCGUGAAAUGCGUAGAUAUCGAGAGGAACACUCGUGGCGAAGGCGGGUUCCUGGACAUUAACUGACGCUGAGGCACGAAGGCCCGGGGAGCGAAAGGGAUUAGAUACCCCUGUAGUC
RNAcentral lists this ribosomal RNA (446 nucleotides) under uncultured bacterium. RNAcentral describes it as "partial 16S ribosomal RNA". It matches the Rfam family "Bacterial small subunit ribosomal RNA", at positions 338 to 795 of the family's 1533-position model. The record is from RNAcentral.